GGCGCCGGCGUCGGCGCGGAGAGAGGGUACGUGUGGGGCGGCGAGGAGUCCGGCGGGGUGGUGGUGAGCGGGGAGAAGGUGGCGGAGAGGGUGCGCGCCACCCUGGCCGACAAGGGGCUCCGGCAGAGGGCGGAGGAGGUCGGCGAGCGCGCGCGGCGCGCGGUGGAGACGGGCGGAUCGUCGUACGGCGCCGUCGGCGCGCUGAUGGACGAUGUGCUGCGCCGGCGCCGGCGUCGGGAGAUAGCGGCAGCAGAAGAACCAGGGGACGUAGUGAAAGCAUGAACUCAACUUAUUCAUGGCGCAUUUAACUUUUGGCCACUCUUACGAUUGAAUUGAUAACGAACUUGUCACUCUAUCAUCACUUGUACACAAAAAGUUAACUAUUUAACUGUUCCGUGUUCACAGGAUAUGGGGCAAAUUGAAUGAGCGGAGAAGGCAAAUAUACUUGUAUUCGGGCAUUCUCAAAUGGUGUCUAUAGCAUUAAAUAAGUUGUCACAUAGGAUGAAAAAUGAUGUGGCAAGUGAAUAAAUAAGGAAAGAGAAUGAAACCAUGUCUUGCAUGAGACAUGUUUUCUACACAACAUCUAAGAUAUUAUGUGAGAUAAGUAGCAUUAAAUUUAAGUGUAGAACAGUGGUGUAUGUAUUAGAAGAGUAGUGUUUAGUACUAGUUUCUUGAUGAUGGGAAGUUUAUAGAAAACAUAUCUAGUGUUAUGGGUUGAGAAUACCCUUCUACCGAAUGUCUUACCUAGCACGGAAACGUAAUAAUAGAUUAAUAC
RNAcentral lists this long non-coding RNA (775 nucleotides) under Oryza brachyantha (malo sina). RNAcentral describes it as "long non-coding RNA (OBRA_LNC000717)". Lineage: Eukaryota; Viridiplantae; Streptophyta; Magnoliopsida; Poales; Poaceae. The record is from RNAcentral.